AUGUUCAUGGUCUUCAUGUUUUGUUUCCUUCAUCUGCCGGGGAAUAACGGCGUCUCUCAUACCGCCAGUGUCCUCCAAACACCUCCAUUCAUCAUUAAGAGAACUGGUGAAUCUGUUGUCAGUGAGAUCUACUGCUCACACAGCAUAACAAAUUAUGAUAACAUUCUCUGGUACAAACAGGACAAAUACAAAUCUCUGAAGUUUCUCGGAUAUCUAAACCUGAACUUCCAAAACCCCGAGGAAGACGUGAAAGGAAAAAUCAGCUUUGAUGGAGAUGGCCGUAAACAUUCGAACCUGACUAUAUCUAAUGUUUCAUUAAGUGACAGCGCUGUGUAUUUCUGUGCUGCCAGUUAGCACAGUGCUGCAGAUUCCCCUCAGCUCACUACAAAAACCCUUCAUCUGUUUGGCAGGCAGACAAAACGUUCAGGCUCUUCAACACCUGCAGCCUGACUUCAACUAAACCAAGACUUGAAGAUUUUAUCAACUGUUUUGACACAUUUUUGACCCCCUCUGAGGUCCUGUUGUAGGCCCACAGUUCAACAUACUGUAUUGUUGUCAUAAUCCUUUGAUGUGCAGAACAUAAUGUUUGUGAUAUGUUUUAAGGUACAGUACAUCAUUGUUGUUAUUGACAGAGAAAAAAUGGUCACUUCUACUUCUUCCAACUUGUAGAAGAUUUAAAUUCAUAUUAAUGAUUAUAUGUUGAACAUUCUGCCUGUAUGCAGAGGAGUUAUUGUUGGUCCUUUAACAUGACAUGUAAUUGUUGACCCUGACAGGUCUAAUUGAUGUGAGUGAUGUCACCCAGACCCCUCUGCUGUGGAGCAAAGAGGGUCAGUCUGCCACAAUGGA
This is a non-coding RNA of Thunnus maccoyii (southern bluefin tuna), 846 nucleotides long. The record is from the annotation of a RefSeq genome assembly. Lineage: Eukaryota; Metazoa; Chordata; Actinopteri; Scombriformes; Scombridae.